UCAUCAGUUGGGGUAAUCCUGAUCUGUUGCUUCUUUUUGAAGCUAACAGUUAUGGAUUAUGACAAAGUGAUGAAAGUGGGCUUGAUGAUUCAGGUGAAUUAUGUCAUCCUGGGUCUGGAGGUUCUCGACCUUCCUCCAAAUCCACUUCUGAU
This is a small nucleolar RNA of Anneissia japonica, 152 nucleotides long. RefSeq annotates it as U8 small nucleolar RNA. The record is from RefSeq and is a predicted model, not a curated record. Lineage: Eukaryota; Metazoa; Echinodermata; Crinoidea; Comatulida; Comatulidae. The transcript has a single exon.